UCAAUAGGUAGCCAAUCACACCUAGAAAAAAGAUUGGUGGUGACUCCUAAUGUGUUUUCAUCACGUCUGGCAGUCGGGUUCUCAGACCCGUACGUUACGACAAAUAUUAUUCUUGUGCUAAGCCAAAAGGGUAUUUUAUUCCAUGAGAUAUAUAAUUACUUUGAAACCAGCAAAAGCUAAUUGCCAUGUAAGAACAGAGAAAACACCAAAGUUGCCAUGGCAACCUAAAAUCUAAGAACACAUGCAACUGCGAAAACUUACCCCAUAGGAGAAACUCUUCAGCUCUCUAGCCAACAUAUCUCUAAAUUUUUCCACAACUAAUUCUUCAUCACAAUUUUCAGUAAGACCCAAUUCCACCCCGAAUGCCGAUUGGAACCUCGCAAGGCUUAGCAUCAGCUUCCGCACCUCCCUGGUGAGCGACAAUUAUUAAAUCUCGCAUUUCAAGAAAUCAUAAGUUGUUUCCAAAUCAAAAUAAUAAAAUAUUAUUUUUUUGCUCACAAGGACAUUUUCAUUAUUUUUCUUUGAAAAUACAGAAACCCACCAAAAACAUGGUGUAAAAGCUAAAUAUGUUCAUACAUACUUUAAAUCAGAUAAUUGAAGUAUAAAAUUACUUUUACAGUGACACGUGGGCCCCCAACUGACCAAGAAGGUGUAGGGCUACGAACCCUUACUUUCUAGGAUGUAACUCCGAGAUUAAUUCUCGUCUUAAUCAACUAUCAACAAACUGUCCUGAGUCUGAAAAAUAGAUAGGAAGAGGGGUGAGAUUACAUAAUCCCAGUGAGUAAACAAACACCACCUAAACUAUCUAAAGGCGAGUAAAUGGAGACAAUUAAAAAAAUUCAUUUCAGCAAAUUUUUCACAACACGAAUAUUCAUUUCAACCAAAUAAUCAAUAUGACUCGUGAAUUUCUCAAAACUUGGCUCAUGCCAAAUCCUGUACUCGGGGACACCUGGACCAAGGGUAUCCAACCGAGUCUGCCAAGGCUGUGAAAAAUUUUAUAUAAUCAUAGAACUUGUUUUUAUUUUGAAAAAAAAGCAGUAGUUCCUUGGCGUUGACUGAGUCUCACUUCACGUGGUGGUUAACGUAAAGUACACUUAAAAAGCCCACCUCAGGAGAUACCCUACGCGCCUCUACUAUCGAAGUGAGAAUAUAAAGGAGUUUACCGUGCCCCUUUAAUAGGUUGGUCCACGAAACCCCGCCACUGUAGUAGCUAAUCUUUAAUCCACCAAUUGAUCAAAUCUCAAUGGCAUAGCAUGGCAAUUACAUUACUAAUCAAUUUAUCAAGGCAAAAUAGACAGUUCAUAUUUUUCAACACAAGUAUAAAUUCAAUCAAUCAUGCCAAUUUAUCACAAGCCAUUUAAUUCAAAUCAUAAUUUACAAUAAAUCACAUCAUCUCCAAUUACUCAAAUUUUCAAAUCCAACAUUCUAUUUUCAAAUCAAUUUAUAAGAAAUUUAAUUUAUUUUAUAAUUCCAUUUAUUUUAUAAUUCCAUUUAUUUUAUAAAUUCAUAUUUUUCUCAUAAAACAAAAAAUUCAUCAUUUAAAAUAAUUUUCACAAAUCACAAAAUUGAAUAAAAACUACUCUAGAUAAUUUAGAUGAUAAUAGGUUUACUCACAGUUCUAGGAGUCGAUGUAUUUCUAAUCUCAAUCUUCAAGCACAAUCUUUGUACUUUUAUCAGUGUAAUUUACUCACCACCUAUCCACAAUGUACAAUACAUAACUCACCACAUUAAUGCUUGACCAUUAUAAAAUCAAUUCAAGCUCGGCGUAUAUGCAUGAUAUGAUAUGUAACUUAUCCGACUACCGCUUAAAUGCGGUGCUGACCUAAUUUGACCUAUUACCCUAUUAAAUGACAAUUGUGUCCGAUUUGGCUCCAAAUUGCUCCAUUUCAUUUCUAGUACCUCAAUUCACCAAACAUUAUUCAAAUAACACCAAUUUCAGAAUCAAAACCCUUCCAUUUCUUCAUGGAAAAAUUUGGUCAUUACAGUACACUAACACCGUGAUUUUUCCUACUUAAUUUUCUCACCAUUAUUCAUCAUUUUCUAAGCCAUUUCUCUUGAAAUAAUAACAAUCCAUCGCCCACACACAUCAAGGAAGAUUCGACCAAUGAAGAUUCAUGGGGAAAAUGGAUUCUUUUCUUGUUGUUUUACUUCUAAAUAUGCUAAACUAACUAAAAACACUAACAUAUCUUAAAAUCAAUUCAAUCCAACAUCUUUCUCUCUCCUUACCCAUUUUGACCAGUCAUGAAUUCAUCAUGAAAACAUGUAAUUUAACCAUGAAAAUUAAGGGAAAAUGCAUGGGUAAGAUAAAUCACUAGCAAAAUCAAAGAAAUUUUACCUUUGCUUGAUCAAAUCCUUGAAUUCCAACACUUUCUCUUUGAUUUUUCCCACCUAGGGUUUGUUCUUCCUUGGUUUCUCUUCUCUUCUGGUUUGGC
RNAcentral lists this long non-coding RNA (2432 nucleotides) under Theobroma cacao (cacao). Its description in RNAcentral is "long non-coding RNA (TCAC_LNC002569)". Lineage: Eukaryota; Viridiplantae; Streptophyta; Magnoliopsida; Malvales; Malvaceae. The record is from RNAcentral.